CUACAGGCUUAACACAUGCAAGUCGAGGGGCAGCAUGGUCUUAGCUUGCUAAGGCCGAUGGCGACCGGCGCACGGGUGAGUAACACGUAUCCAACCUGCCGUCUACUCUUGGACAGCCUUCUGAAAGGAAGAUUAAUACAAGAUGGCAUCAUGAGUCCGCAUGUUCACAUGAUUAAAGGUAUUCCGGUAGACGAUGGGGAUGCGUUCCAUUAGAUAGUAGGCGGGGUAACGGCCCACCUAGUCUUCGAUGGAUAGGGGUUCUGAGAGGAAGGUCCCCCACAUUGGAACUGAGACACGGUCCAAACUCCUACGGGAGGCAGCAGUGAGGAAUAUUGGUCAAUGGGCGAGAGCCUGAACCAGCCAAGUAGCGUGAAGGAUGACUGCCCUAUGGGUUGUAAACUUCUUUUAUAAAGGAAUAAAGUCGGGUAUGCAUACCCGUUUGCAUGUACUUUAUGAAUAAGGAUCGGCUAACUCCGUGCCAGCAGCCGCGGUAAUACGGAGGAUCCGAGCGUUAUCCGGAUUUAUUGGGUUUAAAGGGAGCGUAGAUGGAUGUUUAAGUCAGUUGUGAAAGUUUGCGGCUCAACCGUAAAAUUGCAGUUGAUACUGGAUAUCUUGAGUGCAGUUGAGGCAGGCGGAAUUCGUGGUGUAGCGGUGAAAUGCUUAGAUAUCACGAAGAACUCCGAUUGCGAAGGCAGCCUGCUAAGCUGCAACUGACAUUGAGGCUCGAAAGUGUGGGUAUCAAACAGGAUUAGAUACCCUGGUAGUCCACACGGUAAACGAUGAAUACUCGCUGUUUGCGAUAUACUGCAAGCGGCCAAGCGAAAGCGUUAAGUAUUCCACCUGGGGAGUACGCCGGCAACGGUGAAACUCAAAGGAAUUGACGGGGGCCCGCACAAGCGGAGGAACAUGUGGUUUAAUUCGAUGAUACGCGAGGAACCUUACCCGGGCUUAAAUUGCAGAUGAAUUACGGUGAAAGCCGUAAGCCGCAAGGCAUCUGUGAAGGUGCUGCAUGGUUGUCGUCAGCUCGUGCCGUGAGGUGUCGGCUUAAGUGCCAUAACGAGCGCAACCCUUGUUGUCAGUUACUAACAGGUUCCGCUGAGGACUCUGACAAGACUGCCAUCGUAAGAUGUGAGGAAGGUGGGGAUGACGUCAAAUCAGCACGGCCCUUACGUCCGGGGCUACACACGUGUUACAAUGGGGGGUACAGAGGGCCGCUACCACGCGAGUGGAUGCCAAUCCCCAAAACCUCUCUCAGUUCGGACUGGAGUCUGCAACCCGACUCCACGAAGCUGGAUUCGCUAGUAAUCGCGCAUCAGCCACGGCGCGGUGAAUACGUUCCCGGGCCUUGUACACACCGCCCGUCAAGCCAUGGGAGCCGGGGGUACCUGAAGUGCGUAACCGCGAGGAGCGCCCUAGGGUAAAACUGGUGACUGGGGCUAAGUAGUAA
This 1447-nucleotide ribosomal RNA is filed under the name uncultured organism. RNAcentral describes it as "SSU rRNA". It matches the Rfam family "Bacterial small subunit ribosomal RNA". The record is from RNAcentral.